Molecule: signal recognition particle RNA, 310 nt
Filed under: Thermoplasmata archaeon
Lineage: Archaea; Methanobacteriati; Thermoplasmatota; Thermoplasmata
Description: signal recognition particle sRNA
Rfam family: Archaeal signal recognition particle RNA
Source: RNAcentral
UGCUAGGCUCGACCGGGACGUUCGGCGUGUCCUUAUACACCAAAAUCGUCGACAGUGGGGGUGACAGCUGGGGACGUCGUAACCGAGUCUGCGUAGGUCCAGGUAUCGACAAUGAGGCCUUGUCCAAGGGGGUUGAAGGUGGCUCUGUGUCCAGCUGGAGGGCGGGACUCUCUGACUUUGUCGCGGGGAUCGGGUCAGGCCCUGACGGGAACAGCCUUACCGCGAACUCUCAACGCUCCUAGGGUAGCGGGGCCGAGAAGAUAUCUGGGCUGCCUGCGUGAACGAGGCCGGCAACUCCAGUGGCCUAGCA